This 252-nucleotide unclassified non-coding RNA is filed under the name uncultured Bacteroidales bacterium. RNAcentral describes it as "contains 16S-23S intergenic spacer region". It matches the Rfam family "Bacterial small subunit ribosomal RNA", at positions 524 to 776 of the family's 1533-position model. The record is from RNAcentral. Lineage: Bacteria; Pseudomonadati; Bacteroidota; Bacteroidia; Bacteroidales.
UACGGAGGAUGCGAGCGUUAUCCGGAUUUAUUGGGUUUAAAGGGUGCGUAGGCGGCGCGUCAAGCCGGUGGUAAAAUUGCGGGGCUCAACCCCGUAGAGCCAUCGGAACUGGCGUGCUUGAGUGGAGAAGAAGUAUGCGGAAUGCGAGGUGUAGCGGUGAAAUGCAUAGAUAUCGCGCAGAACUCCGAUUGCGAAGGCAGCGUACUAUUCUCCAACUGACGCUGAGGCACGAAAGCGUGGGGAUCGAACAGG